Saxophila tyrrhenica is the source of this 146-nucleotide non-coding RNA. Lineage: Eukaryota; Fungi; Ascomycota; Dothideomycetes; Mycosphaerellales; Extremaceae. The record is from the annotation of a RefSeq genome assembly.
UCCUCUGUGGCGCAAUUGGCUAGCGCGUUCGGCUGUUAGAUCAACGAUCAAACGGUACCGGAAGGUUUCUGGGUUUGUCUCAAUGAAAGCCCAUCGUUCUCAACCGCCUACUGACUCUAAGUGCAGUUCGAAUCCAGGCAGGGGAG